RNAcentral lists this unclassified non-coding RNA (456 nucleotides) under Zea mays. RNAcentral's name for it is "misc RNA Zm00001eb270220". Lineage: Eukaryota; Viridiplantae; Streptophyta; Magnoliopsida; Poales; Poaceae. The record is from RNAcentral.
ACAGCGAGCAACUGAGAACGGCUCGACUACGCCGAACAGACAGCUCGCGCCUGCGCGAGGGGCUCGUCACGCAACCAAGGAAUGGAGCAAAGGAAGCUCCGGAACAGCCUGGCGCGCAGAGGAAGAAAACCACGACGCACGCAGCAAGGCGACAGCGCGCAGGAACGCGGCAAGCAGGGGUCGGAGGCGAGCUCCACGGCGAGCAGAGCAGGGGCUGGGUGCGGCAUGGGAGAGCGAGCUGAGGGACGCGGCCACGAAUUGGGAAGAACUGAAGGGAGCUACAUGGAGGUCGCGCGGUCAGGCGAUUUUGAGGGAAGGACGAGCGGGGAAAGCAGACGAACUCCUGGGCUGAGGCCAUUGAUGGGCAGAGGGAGCUCGGGCGCCGGCAAACCAGCAGGGGAAGACGCCAUGGGGAUGAGAGAGGUCCGCGCGCAGAGGGGGUUGGAGCUGAAGGGA